GGCCAGGUGGCUGAGUGGUUCAGUAGGUACGUCUGCUGAUGGUUCGCAAUAACUUCUGUAUCUCAUGUGGGUUCGAUUCCCACCCUGGCCG
Mycena crocata is the source of this 91-nucleotide non-coding RNA. The record is from the annotation of a GenBank genome assembly. Lineage: Eukaryota; Fungi; Basidiomycota; Agaricomycetes; Agaricales; Mycenaceae.